UCAGUGAUCACAAAAAACCCUGAAAAACAAACAAACAUUUUUCAUCUGCAUAAAUGAUUUGCUUGUUUAAAUAUCAAAAGCUUUUCAUUAUCCAGAGUCAUUAUGCAGGGACUUCUAAACCCAUUGAACAUAAUGAUCCAACGCCAUCUCCCAAUCUUGAAGUCCUUGUAUCUGAGGCAGAGGAAGAUGAUGUUGAAGGGGAUUCCUGACGAGAUUACCCGCCUUCUUGAGCACCAAAGAAGCUCAUUCAGCUGUAUCAUGAGAAUCAGCAAAACAGUCAAACUGGGGAUU
RNAcentral lists this long non-coding RNA (291 nucleotides) under Lathyrus oleraceus (garden pea). Its description in RNAcentral is "Pisum sativum (pea) long non-coding RNA (PSAT_LNC041294)". Lineage: Eukaryota; Viridiplantae; Streptophyta; Magnoliopsida; Fabales; Fabaceae. The record is from RNAcentral.